UCAAAAAUGUAUGUUGCUGUAAAUCUUUUUUUUACUCCGUUUAUUUGGAAAAGGGAUGUAUAUGCUAUUCAAGUCUAGAGUUGGUUAUUGCGGUGAUCUGUUCUAUUGUCAUAUAUAUUAGGUAUUUAGUGUUAUCCUUUAUGUUAUUUUAAAUGAUGUUUAUAUAGAAGUUAUGUUAUAAAUUAUUUUUCUAUGUGCAAUAAUGUCAUGAAUGUAUUUAAAUGUAUAUGUUGAAAUAAGUAACACUUUCAAAUUAAUUUAAUAUUAAAAAACUUAACUACUAAUCUAAUUUUACACAGGGACUUUCUAUACUAAGGUUACUGGUCUCUAUUGGUUUUAACUGAUUAUUAAGCCGCCUGUUUAAAGCUAUCACCCAACAAUAAACUUAGUUUCGUAUCUCUGAUAUACAAUGCUAGUAGUUAUUUGCGUAUUUCACUGUUCAUUGUAAUUAUAUAAUUAUUAUUAGUUGUUAAUAGAAAAUCUGAUUAAUAGCCAUUAGCGAUGACAAAAAAUAUAAGAUUUUGAAAGAAUAUAAAUUAUUAAACUUAGAUGAUCGUUUUAAAGAACAUCACAGUUGUGUAAAAUGGUUUCCAUAUCAAACAAGAUGGUGGCUACUGAAAAUUCAAUAAACAAAUACCUCAAAGUUCAAAGAUCAAUAUUUAAAAAACAAUCUGAUUAAUCUUUUAAAAAACAACAUUUUGCAAUGACAAAAUGUAUAAAAUUUCAUUAAAACGAUUUUUUGUUAAACUUGAAAAUAUAGUUAUGAAAAACAACUUGUAAAUGUGAAAUGAUUUGCUAUAAAGUCACAUGACAUCUGCUACAGCCGAGAUCAGUUUGAUAAUUUGUAUAGACAUCGUUAUGAGUGACCAGUCCUGUUAGUAUAGAAAGUCCCUGUUUUAAUGUUAAAAUUAGUAGCUCCUUUUUUAAGGUAAAAUUUAAUAAGUUCUUGAUUUAAUUUUAACGUUGAAACAUCUUGAUUGAAUGUUUAAUUUAGUAUCAACUUGAUUUGAUGUCAAAUUAAGUUAAAACUUGAUUUAAUGUUGAAAAAUUUAAUAACUCCUUAAUUUUAUGUUAAAACUUGGGAAACGUAUUGUGAUAUCUUUACUUUGAAAUUGAAAACACACUUUACCAAUUACAGGGGUGGAUCCAGCCAUUUUAAAAAGGGGGGUUCCAGCUAUAUGCUCCCAUUCAAAUGCAUUGAUCGGCCAAAAAAAGGGGGGUUCCAACCCCCGGAACCCCCCUGGAUCCGCCAAUGAGUAAUAAGAUGUCAUUAAAUGCAAAAAAAAUGAUAAACUUGAAAUCAAAACAAAUCACAUAUACAGUACCAUGAAUUCAUUUCUAGCUAUUAGCAUAAUUAGUAUAGAAACAAAUAGUUUUGUAAAUUUUGCUGUCAUGUUUUGUUAGCCA
Molecule: long non-coding RNA, 1407 nt
Filed under: Mytilus galloprovincialis (Mediterranean mussel)
Lineage: Eukaryota; Metazoa; Mollusca; Bivalvia; Mytilida; Mytilidae
Source: RNAcentral